UACGGAGGGUGCAAGCGUUAUCCGGAUUCACUGGGUUUAAAGGGCGCGUAGGAGGGCAGGUAAGUCAGUGGUGAAAUCUUCGAGCUUAACUCGGAAACUGCCGUUGAUACUAUCAAUCUUGAAUAUAGUGGAGGUGAGCGGAAUAUGUCAUGUAGCGGUGAAAUGCUUAGAUAUGACAUAGAACACCCAUUGCGAAGGCAGCUCGCUACACUAUUAUUGACGCUGAGGCACGAAAGCGUGGGGAUCAAACAGG
RNAcentral lists this ribosomal RNA (253 nucleotides) under uncultured bacterium. RNAcentral describes it as "partial 16S ribosomal RNA". It matches the Rfam family "Bacterial small subunit ribosomal RNA", at positions 524 to 776 of the family's 1533-position model. The record is from RNAcentral.